This 387-nucleotide unclassified non-coding RNA is filed under the name soil metagenome. RNAcentral's name for it is "partial contains 5.8S ribosomal RNA, internal transcribed spacer 2, and large subunit ribosomal RNA". The stretch from base 1 to 120 matches the Rfam family "5.8S ribosomal RNA", at positions 35 to 154 of the family's 154-position model. The record is from RNAcentral.
GAUGAAGAACGCAGCGAAAUGCGAUAAGUAGUGUGAAUUGCAGAAUUCAGUGAAUCAUCGAAUCUUUGAACGCACCUUGCACCCUUUGGCAUUCCGAAGGGUAUGCUCGUUUGAGUGUCAUUGUACUCUCACACUCUCCGAUCCUAUGGAUUCGGGGAGCGGUGGACUUGGGUGUUGCUGCCUUUCCUUGUGGCUCACCUCAAAUGUGUCAGUGCACCUCUUGGUUGGACAUAGUACGGCGUGAUAAGUGUCUUCGCCGGCACCUCGCAAGAGGGUGGCCGAUCGGGAGCUCUGUGCUUUCAAACCGUCUUCGGACAAUUUCUGACAACUUGACCUCAAAUCGAGUAGGACUACCCGCUGAACUUAAGCAUAUCAAUAAGCGGAGGA